AAUGAGUUUUCUGGCUCAAAAUUACUAUGCUCGGAGAGUUUACAUGUGAGUGUUAGCGAGAAGAAGGGAUAAGUUUUAAAUAAAUAUAGUCUUGUAGGUCGCAGUAAGGAUUUUUAUUAAUCUAGGAGACUAGGAAAUAGCUAGAUUAAGAAUAUGAACAAAGUUUGUGCCAGCAGUUGCGGUUAGACUUACCAUGUGAUAGUAAUUUUUCAGUUUUAUAGAUAAUUUAAUAUAGGGAGUUGGUAGAAAAUUUUUAUUAGGUGAAAUUUUUAAAUUUUGAAGAGGUUCAGUAAAUUAAAUUGAAUUUAGAAAGUCUUUAUUGUAAACUAGGAUUAGAUACCCUAUUAUAGGAGAGGUAAAAUUAGGGACUGAGUGAGUAUUAGUUAUGUUCUUGAAAAUUAAAGAAAUUGGCGGUUUUUUAGUCUAUUCAGAGGAACUUGUCCUAUAAUUGAUGACCCACGAUUUAAAAUACUUACUUUUUAAAUUUACAUAUCGCCGUGGGUGGAGUAUUUUUUUAGAAUAAAAUAUUCAUGAAUUUUAGUGAAAAUAUAUCAGGUCAAGGUGUAGUUUAUAAGUGAGGAGAGAUGAGUUACAAUAAGUUUAUUUAUAUGAAUAUAGAACUUGAAAAGUUUUUUGAAGGUGGAUUUGAAAGUAAUUUUAAAUAUUUUUUUAGAAUGAUUUUAGCUCUAAGAUAUGCACAUAUCGCCCGUCGCUUUCAUUUCAAAGUGAAAUAAGUCGUAACAGAGUAGAUGUACUGGAAAGUGUCUCUAGAAAGAC
RNAcentral lists this non-coding RNA (777 nucleotides) under Trigonopterus tounensis. The record is from RNAcentral. Lineage: Eukaryota; Metazoa; Arthropoda; Insecta; Coleoptera; Curculionidae.